Molecule: unclassified non-coding RNA, 489 nt
Filed under: Hevea brasiliensis (rubber tree)
Lineage: Eukaryota; Viridiplantae; Streptophyta; Magnoliopsida; Malpighiales; Euphorbiaceae
Source: RNAcentral
AUUGGCAAUAUCGUGUGGAGAAUUUCUUAACCUUAAUUUCUUUUGUCUUUCUUAAAAUGUAUAUUUAAGUGAUUAGUUUCCAUCAUAUUCUUUUGGUGAUAUGUUUUAUUCUGUUGAAUGUUAAUGAUGGUGAGUGGUGCAUGUCAUUUGUAGAUGUUGUCUUAGUUGAUGAAAUUAGUGAUGGAUUUAUCAAAAGUUAAGAGUUGUGGAAUGACUCUUGAGAGUAUGGGUUUUAAACUAAGUAGAAGUAAAAAUGAAAUAUAGCAUUGUGCACUUAGUUCUUGUAGAAGAAUGGAUAGGAGGUUCGAUUGGAUGGAAUUUUGGUGCCAAAAUGUUUUUUAUGUUCAAUCAUCUAGAAGAACGGAGUAAUAUAUGAGUAUGUAAUGCAUAGGAUCAAAAAUAGGACGGAUGAAAUGGAGGAUUUCGACGGGUGUGCUGUGCGAUCGUAGGAUCCCUGACAAAGUAAAAGGUAAGUUUUAUAGAAUUGUG